This is a non-coding RNA of Podarcis muralis (Common wall lizard), 2132 nucleotides long. The record is from RefSeq and is a predicted model, not a curated record. Lineage: Eukaryota; Metazoa; Chordata; Lepidosauria; Squamata; Lacertidae.
AUGGCAAAGGGAGGGAGCGGUUUUGAAAGGGAACCCAGUGAGAGGAGGUGGUGCUUAUAACAAUUCUAUUCCAUUUGCAUCCCACAUAUUUCUCGUGAGGAGCUCAAGGUGAUGUACACAGAUCUUCCCCCUCCUCAAUGGGUAGCGACUGGCCCAAGGUCACCAAGUGAGCUUCAUAGCUGCGUGGGGAUUUGAACCCUGGUCUCUGAGGUCCUAGUCCACUAUACUAUGCUGGCUUUGCGAGUGCAGAGAAACAGUGUGACAACAGGGGCCCCUUCUGAACAAAGAUUUUCUAGCAAGAAAGCAGCUGGUCUUUAAGGGGGCAAAAGCAUUGGUUUCUCCAUGCAUUGCUUCCAUGUUUACCUUCAAAGAUGGGACUACACUUCAGGGUUGACGUACUCUACUCGAAUUCCCCAUUCCCCCAGCAAACCAGUGCUAUUUUUCUAGAAAAAGAGGUGCUGGAACUCACCAUGAACACCACCCUCAUUCUCUGCUGGCAAUGGCGUCCACCUGAGAGGUUCCUGUGAAUUCCCUCUGAAAAAAGCCUUGGGUAUUAUUACACUAUUAUUAUGCAAGGUGGUGUAAGCCACAGCACAGUUCCCUGCAAUAUGGGUAUAAUAUGGAUUUGUGACAAAUCAUUUGUCUGCAAUAGCAUUUAAAAAAAAAACUUUACAAGCUCAGGAAAAAUAAUAAGCCAUGUUUGAGUAUGAAGUAAGACCCAAGUUAAAAAGAUUGUGAACUCCAAUUUUUUCCUUGCAGUCUUUUGUUUUUGAGUUGAUAAAGCACUCUCCAAUCAGAGCUAGACUAAAAUCUUGGAUAACUGAAUUGUUUUCUAUUGGAUGGCAAUCACUUCUCCAGCAGGAAGGAUAGAGAGAAAGGCUUAAAAAUAAAGCAAAAAGUUCUUUCUACGUACAAUGGGUGUUUUCCUCUAGACUUCUUUUUGUCCAUUUGGCUAUACAGGCUAUUCUUCAAUGUCAAUCAUUGUUCAGACUUCUUUCAUUGACUUAAUACUGACACAGGAACAGGCUAAUUUCUCACACAGAAAGAAAGAAAGAAAGAAAGAAAGAAAGAAAGAAAGAAAGAAAGAAAGAAAAUACAGCCUGUAUAUUUUGCCUUGUUUCUCAGGUUCUACAAGGGCAAAGGUUCAGGUUGCUGUUUAUUUUUAAAGGAUCCAGGGAAUAUGGUUGGGGGGGGGGAGCAAAUGCCACCUUAACCCCCAUGACCAGGCUGCUGUCUAUUCAGGGCACCUCCAUCAGCAACUGUGAUUUUGUGUCAGGAGCAGAAAAUGCAUUUUCACAGCUUCCCUGCCUCAAGUACUACUUAUUAUGCUUUGUCACAUGCGCUAUUAAAAGCAUGUAUUUGUAGUAGCCUUAGUGCGCAUCUCAGCAGGAAAAAAUACAAUAUAACAUAUUGUUUUGUGGACAAGCAUCACACCUUAUGGUACAAUAGUAUAUAUUGUGGACUGUGCUAUUGGUUCCUUAAAAUUUAUGUUCCUGCUACACAAAAGAUUGGGAAUACCGUAUUGAGAAAUGUUUGCAUAUGAACAACAUGUUAAACUUGAUUUGGUGUGGCAUGAAUGCACUGCAGCAAGACUUAGUCUUGCACACUCCCCCUCCUUCUGCUGGGCUGUGAGGAGGAGUCUGGAAGGGGUUGCUUCCGCUUUUGGAUCACCAAAGCUUGUUGUGUUGUCUGUAGUAACAAACCAUUUUGAUCCAUUAAGUGGUGGGGGUGGACCAUCCAAAUCAGUUCCACCUCCCUGCAGAGGGGAAGGGUCGCGUGGGUUCUUUUGCACCCAGAAGAAGGCAGAACGGAGGUGGAAUGGGGUUGAAUGGAAGGGGGGCAGGCCUUGCUUAUAUGUGCUCCGCUGACGAGCAUGAGGGCUGGGAAUGGAACUCCCACGCAAAAUGGUUCCAACUUUUUCAUACAUUGCUUAGCAAAGAAUGUUAGUUACCUAUUCACCAAUGUACAAUUGCUGCUGUCCCAACUGGUGCCUCGUUGCUCUUCUUUUUCUGAUGUUGAUUGUUGACUUCUGUAAGUUGUUGUUAGAAGCAGCCUAUAUUUGUAUUUCGGGAAGGACAUUUUGUUAUAUGUAUUCAAUGCCUCAUUGAUGAUGAUGAUGAUGAAUAAAUAAU